CGUCGGCAGCGUCAGAUGUGUAUAAGAGACAGGUGAAUCAUCGAAUCUUUGAACGCAACUUGCGCCUCUUUGAGGCAUGUCUGUUUGAGUGCCGCAUACAUCUAUGCAGCAAUGCGAUUUGACUGUUGUCUCCGGACUCGGUCUAAACGUAGCCAGAUAGUGGCCUAUGUAGGCUAGCCCGAGUGCUAAGCAUUCUCUGAGCUAGUCUAGGUGGGUUGCCCCAAUCUAUCAUCAUCUAUCUAUUUGGCCUCAAAUCAGGCAAGACUACCCGCUGAACUUAAGCAUAUCAAUAAGCGGAGG
RNAcentral lists this unclassified non-coding RNA (300 nucleotides) under uncultured fungus. RNAcentral describes it as "sequence contains 5.8S rRNA gene, ITS2". The stretch from base 245 to 300 matches the Rfam family "Eukaryotic large subunit ribosomal RNA", at positions 1 to 56 of the family's 3401-position model. The record is from RNAcentral. Lineage: Eukaryota; Fungi.